AGCGGUGCCCGGUCGGGCCGCGGGAGGGGACAGCCUGGGCCGGGACCGACGGGAGGCCGAGGGCUCUACUCUUAGGGUCCUUCCUUGACGGGAGGAAGCCGAGCCACUUCCGUCUCACCGAGUUUGAGCUCAACAACGGGGUGAAGAUUGUUUAACAGGUGCGCCCUGUGUGCCGGACCCCAGGGGUCGGGAUGGGGAGGGAUACAGAAGACCCAGGGGCGCCCCUGCCCCUGCGGUUUGUUUAGGUUAGUAAUUUAAUGCACUCGUCUGUGACUGUUUUUAAUGGUCAGAAACCUGGGAUCUGAGUUUUUAGGUACAGAGGGAGGGGCGUGGCUCAUUUUGGAGUGUGGGUAAUUAGAAGAAUGAACUGAUGGAGGGCCGUAGGGUUCCUGGUCUUUGCGGAUAGGAGGAAAGGGACAGUGUUCGGAUUAUCAGGACAUCCAGCUACCCACGUUCCUAGAAAAGUUUAUGCAGCACAGCUUAUUGGAUGCCUACAGUGUGCCAGGCUAGAAUCUAAGAAGAGCAAGAUGAAGACACAAUUAUGUCCGCUGGUAACUCACAAUACAGCGAUUUGCGUGCCAUCCCGCGCAGGCCACUUUUUGCUGUAUGAGGCAAAAUUAAGACAGGAUAGUCUGUGAUGUGACGUCAUUUAUCUGCACAGGUAUGCCAGAUACACAAAGGAUACCAUCAUUCGUCUGCAAGCGUACCAGACAUAUCUGUGUGAAUCAUUGAAACUCAGACCCAUUUAUUCCUUCAGACUUGUUGAGCACACACUGUGUGCUGGGCCCAUGUAAUUAGGAGGUGGGGUUACAGCAGUCCCCCUGCCCUUCUAAUGGAAGUUCAUUUAAAUUAAAAAAUGAACAAGGAAUAAUGACACAUAUGCAGAAUAUUGUGAAACAGAAGUGCAGGGAAACGCUGACGUGUGAAUCUUUGAAAGCUUCGUGGAUGAAGCGGGUCUAACCCAAAAUCUGAUAAGUGAGUAAACGUUAAUUCGGUGAAGGCUAAAGGUUGGGAGAAGUUGGGAGGGUGAGGAGUAACACUGAGUGUGAAAACUGGGGCAGGUGAAAACAAGGUCUUAAACAGAGUAGUGACAUGACCAGAUUCGUGUUAUUUGCAAGAUCCUUCUCACUGCAGUGUGGAGAACAGACUGAACAGGGUAGAAUAGUGGGUGUGGGAGGCACCAUUUCAAACAGGGCAAAUAGAAAUGGUGGGUAUCACAUCAGUUGACUGGGUGUAAUAAUAACUAACACUGAACACCACGUACCAGGAUCUGUAUCAAGUGCUUUGCUUAGAUUAUUAACUCGUGUAACCCUCACAACACCCUGUGAGAUCGGUACUGUUUUCAUCCCCACUUUACAGAUGGGAAACCUGACGCGCAAAAGAGAGGAAGUAACUUUUCUAUGAUCACACAGCUAGAAAGUGGCAGAGCUAGGAUUCACCUUAGGCAUUCUGACUCAGAAGUCUGUCUCCUCAUUAGCAUACUAUGUAGAAAAGAUCUUACGGGGGCUGGAUUUUUCUCCCCCAAGAGAUACAUUGAAGUCCUAACCCUUGGUACCUGUGAAGAUGACAUUAUUUGGAAAUAGGGUCUUUCAGGUGUAAUCGAGAAGGUCACACUGGAUGAGGAUGGUCAAUGAGGUGUCCAUAUAUGGAGAGAGAGAGACACACAGGGGGAAGAAGGCCAAGUGACAACAGAGGCAGAGAGUGCAGGGAUGCAGCUGGACACCGGAGAAUGCCAGGAAUUGCCGGUAACUACCAGAAGCUGCGAGAGGCAUAGAUGAGAACGUUCCUCAGAGGCCCCAAAAGGAACCAACUCUGCUGACGCCUUGAUUUUGGACUUCCGGUCCCCAGAACUGUGGCUGUAACUGUGGAUAAAAUCCAAAUUGGAAUGUGUUGAGAAGUGAGUGGAAGGUGAUAAAAUGGAGAUCACCAUAGCAAAUACGAUAAUAAUGAAAAAGACGGAGAUCUGCGAGAAUUACCAAAACGUGACACCUCUAGAGACACAAAGUGAGCUGUUGGAAAGAUGGCACCAUUAGACUUGCUUGACACAGCAUUGCCACAAACCUCUAAUUUGUA
Molecule: long non-coding RNA, 2073 nt
Organism: Felis catus (domestic cat)
Lineage: Eukaryota; Metazoa; Chordata; Mammalia; Carnivora; Felidae
Exons: 2
Source: RefSeq, a predicted model, not a curated record